AUUCACAUUAGGUGUUCCUUUGUGGUUCAAUCCUUAACACGUGGCACCACAAGGGAACUCCCAAAGUGAAAUUUUUAUUUUACUUUUUACAAUUUUUAUUUAUUUAUUUAUUGGUCUUCUGUCUUUUUAGGGCUGCACCCACAGCACGUGGAGGUUCCCAGGCUAGGGGUCGAAUCGGAGCUGCAGCUGCCAGCCUGCACCACAGCCACAGCAACAUAGGAUCUGAGCUGCAUCUGCGACCUACACCACAGCUCAUGGCAAUGCCAGAUCCUUAACCCACUGAGCAAGGCCAGGGAUCCAUCCUGCAUCUUCAUGAAUAUUAGUCGGCUUCAUUAACCACUGUGCCACAAUGGGAACUCCUGAAAUUUUUAUUUUAAAAAAGCAUUCAAGGUAGGCAGAGAAUUCUGUUCUUUUACUUGCUGAUUAAUUUUUGAUAUAUCUAGUUAAUAAAAAGGUCUAACCACUAAUGCCAUUCAUUUGUGGUGAGCAGUGUAGAUGCCCUUUUCUCUCGUGCAUGUCUGUGUAUCAAAAUUCCAUGGCUUAUAUAAAUCUGUGAAUAAAGGAGCUUCUGUAUCUAGGUUGCCUGCACCAGUUUGAUCUACUCCUGAGAAUUGGUUACCUUGCCUGAAAAUUGCUCUUCAGACAGAAAGAUGGAUAUUUAUUCAUUCUCAUAGAAACUAUUUGCUAAAUGCUAAAUAAAUAAGCCCAAGAACCUAAAGGAAAUACAAAGAAGUGGAUGUCUUGGUCCAAGAGACUCAUACAACAGAUACCUUGAUAAUUGUGAUCGUUGGUGAGUGAUUUAAGUGUGGUAGGAGUGCUGGCACAGUUCAGUAGAGUGAGAGGAAAGACAGGCAGGUUUUUUGACUGAAUUAUUCAGAGGAGGCAUCAUGGAUGUGAUGGCGUUUGAAGGGGUCUUAAGGACUUGACUUGUUUUGCUUCUAUGGGGAGGAACGUGAAAGCAGAAUCAAGGACAUGGGGGCAGCCAGAGUCGGAUCUAAUCUGAGCACGGUAGGAUGACUUGCAUGAUGGCAGUGGAAGAGUCUUACAAGGAGAGGUGAGAGACCAGAGAGGCUGUCCUGGUGUUAUGCUUUCCUCCCAGAGUCACUUCCUGGAGCUGCAUGCUCUUUAUCCCAGUGGUCACACUGGUAUUUUGGCUGUCUGGGUGGGGAUUGUUCAGGGACACUCUAAGUUCAGUCCAAAUUAGGCAGUUGGGGAUUGGCCAGGAAAAAAAAUCUAUAAAUAUCUGUCUUUUCUUCUUUCCUUUUGCCUCAGAUGAAGAGGCUUCUUUUUCUUUUUUCCCAAGGCUAACUCUUCCAUCUGAGCCCCCAGUCCUAUCUUGACCUCAAGUUUUAAAGAACUCAGCUCGGCUUUCAGAUGCUGAGUGACUCCUCUAAUCUUAGUUUCUGGAGCAGCUACCUACCCCCUUCUCCACUUAGUUUCUGGAGCAACUACCUACCCCCCGCUCCACUUACUAGAGGAAAGAAAACCUAACUUUUCCCCCCAGUCCAGCUUUCUUGUCAUGAUACAGAGUAUUUUCAGAGGGAACAUGGUGGUCUGAUUCAGAGCAAAGGUGUUCUGUUCUUUCACUUAUAACUCGAAUCAGAAUUUUCAGCUACUUGUUUUUUUUCUUAUGUGUCUUUUGCAGGCUAACUUAAAUAUCACUUUGAAAAUAAGGCAAAAAAUGUAAUGACGAUAACAAAGUGAAAAUAUUAUAGCCACUAAUACUUAUAUAGUACUCAUGUCACAGGCACUAUAUACAAAGUACUUUACCUGUUUAAUUCAUUUAUUCCUCAUAGCAGCAUUUUUCUUUUACUAUAUGUUUCUGUUCUCUUUAUCCUCUGGCAGUAGUGUUUAAAAGUAGGUUUCCUUCUUGAAGGAUUUUUCUCUUUUCCCUUUGCUUUGUCUUUUGGGCAACUGAUAAAUUAUGAGCAAGUUAUACCUCUACAUUUUUCUUUGGAAGGCAUGACUGUACUAGUGUGUUUGCCUUGGAAGGAUGAGGGAAGUCUUCCAUGGGAAGCUGAAUCAUUUUUUGGCUUGUCUGACUGAGUGACUAUGCUAGAGCUAUUCUUUUUGCUGUGAAGUAAAAAAAAUAAAUAAAUAAAUCGGGUAAUUUCCUAAAGUAACACAUUUUCAUUUUAUGUGGGAUUCAAAACUUUCCUAAGGGUAUGGCUAUUUUGAACGUGAGUUUUCUUAUCUGGCCAGGGCUUUUAUCCUUUAAAUCAGGAGCACUUUUAAGACUCUUCACCUUUUGCGUAUGUUAACACUGACAGACUUUUUUUUCCCCUCUUGUUUAAUAAAUAAAUCUGGUCAGUUAUUUGAAAAGUCUUAAGAUUAUGAUUGUGGUAUUAAAUGAAUUCAUAAUCAGUUAUUCAUUUAGCCUUUGGAUGUCUAAUACCAUUUUUGACACCCUUAGAUUGAAGAAGCACCUGGGUUUUAAGGAACUUGUCAUUCUACUUAGAGGCAGAUUAACACACAGCAUCAAGGAACAGUAUAGAACAGAAACCAUAAAGUGAGUCUCUCACAGUCUAAGGACCAUCAUAGUUCAUAGCAUAGUUAUAAGGAGUGUUAGAGUAGGCAGAGCACUUAACUAGAAAAGUGGGAUUUGAAGGGUAGAUUUUGGUUAACGUGGAGAGACAAGGUAGGGUAUUCCAGAAACCACGAUUGUCCUAAGAGCCAGGGACAUUGAGGUAGGAAGAACCAUAUCCUAAUUGUGAAACUUGACAGACCAACCAUCUACCUGUCUUGAGUAUAAUAGCAAAUGAGACUGGGUAAGGAUCAUGGAAUAUGGCAUGAUGUCAAAGGAGAUUAAACUUGAUGAAGCUAAAGACUUGUACAUUCUUCCUGAAUUACAGCACAACACAUACCACUUCUGUGCUGAAGCAUCUUCAGUGGCUCCCAGCUGCCUCUGAAUAGAGACUAAACCUUUUAGCAUAGCAUCGUAUGCUUUUAUAGUCUAGGCUGUUAAUGCUUUUCCAGGCUAAUGUCAUAGCACUCUCUUACAGUAAUUUGAUGCAUAUAACUAGACAGCUUGCUAGUCCUCUCAUACGUAUCACUCAUCGACACCUGUACCUUCACUUACAGUCUCCAUAGGUGAUGCCUGCCUCCUCUCUCCUGUUUUCUCUCUCUGUCCCUUUAAGUUAAACCACCACCUUCAUGAAACCUUUCUACUUAGUCAGCGCAGUCAGAGAUUCCUUAUUCCUUGCUGAAACCCUGAAUUUCAUUUAUACUGUCCACACCGUCUUAUAUUUCAUGCCAUUGAUUGCUCCUGCUGUGUUUCCUUGAGGUCCCAGAAAUCUCAUUCAUCUUUAUAUCUCUCGUAACAUCUUACAGAGCACCAUAACUGCAGCAGACAUUUAAAAUAUUUGUUGAAUAGAUAGAUAAAUUUAGCCAAUAUUUGCUAAUUUGCUACUAAUUGGCCAUGAUGUGUUGGUGGUGACAGACUUCCAUGACAAAAUUCUGGUCCAUAAUUGUCAGUGUUGUUUCCCUGACCUCAUUGCCUUUGUUUUAUAGAAUGAGGUUUGUUCUUAUUUCCAUAGAUGAUCAUAUGGAAAGGGAGUUUCUUACUUCUUGGCUGUUCCCUUCUGUUUCCAUUUCCUUGCCAAAACACUGUCCACCCUGCUUCCCUCCUCUAGCUGUUAUGAAACCUUUGUCCAUAUUCCUAACCAAGAUUCAGUGUGUACACUCAAGUGUUCUCUUUUGGUCUCUAUGACAGAAUCUCUUGGAAAGUAUUG
This 3731-nucleotide long non-coding RNA is filed under the name Sus scrofa (pig). RNAcentral describes it as "lncRNA (ENSSSCG00000052198.1)". The record is from RNAcentral. Lineage: Eukaryota; Metazoa; Chordata; Mammalia; Artiodactyla; Suidae.